RNAcentral lists this ribosomal RNA (402 nucleotides) under Verrucomicrobiota bacterium. RNAcentral describes it as "Verrucomicrobia bacterium partial 16S ribosomal RNA". It matches the Rfam family "Bacterial small subunit ribosomal RNA", at positions 355 to 776 of the family's 1533-position model. The record is from RNAcentral. Lineage: Bacteria; Pseudomonadati; Verrucomicrobiota.
UGGGGAAUUUUGCACAAUGGGGGAAACCCUGAUGCAGCGACGCCGCGUGAUUUAGAAGGCCUUCGGGUUGUAAAAAUCUUUUGUAUGGGAAGAAAAUGACAGUACCAUACGAAUAAGGACCGGCUAAUUACGUGCCAGCAGCCGCGGUAAUACGUAAGGUCCGAGCGUUGUCCGGAAUCAUUGGGCGUAAAGGGUACGUAGGCGGAUAAGCAAGUUAGAAGUGAAAUCCUAUAGCUCAACUAUAGUAAGCUUUUAAAACUGCUCAUCUUGAGGUAUGGAAGGGAAAGUGGAAUUCCUAGUGUAGCGGUGAAAUGCGCAGAUAUUAGGAGGAAUACCGGUGGCGAAGGAGACUUUCUGGCCAUAAACUGACGCUGAGGUACGAAAGCGUGGGUAGCAAACAGG